Molecule: unclassified non-coding RNA, 2199 nt
Filed under: Leishmania donovani
Lineage: Eukaryota; Euglenozoa; Kinetoplastea; Trypanosomatida; Trypanosomatidae
Description: gene:unknown
Source: RNAcentral
GCUGCUUUCAGAGGCAUUAUGCCAGCUCAUGACUGCGUAGAGACUGCGUGCGCACAGACUUUAAAAAAAAAAGGUGCUUGCUCCUGUCGCUCCUUGGGAGUGUGUCUUCAUCCUCAUGGCUACCAUUGCCGUUGAUCGUUUUUUCUUCUAUCGAAUGAGACAUUGGCACGCCCGUUUCGCUGCAUUGCCUCAGCUAUGGAUCCGAAAGGCUCUUUUUUUUGCGUGUGCGUGUUUUCCUUGGCCGCUGCUCCCUCUCGCCUGUCUUGACUGCGUGAUUCACCGAGCUCUACACGCACCAUCCGCGGACGCACAAAGAGACGUCCAACGGCAUUCAUCCGUGCGCACGCAAACAUGCAACUAUAUUCGCAGCAUUUGUUGCUGCUCUUCUCAUAUCUUCUCCUUUCCACACUUACUUGUCAGCGUUGUGCACCUCUGCGCCCUCCUCACUCCGGCGUGCCCCUCUUCACUGCUGGACUGCUGCCAACUGGAUCAUCACCCACGUGCGAGUGCACUAAGUCCCCACUCCCGCGAGUGCAAGGAUGUGUCGAUCUCGCUCGCCUUGGGCAGGCACCACAACAAAGGCACACGGUAGGCCAUGCUGUUGGUGUUUCAAGUGGGGCCCGGAAAGCCGCGGUGCUUGGCAUGUGUGGCGCUUCCUCGAUGCGCACCUCUCAAACGGCUGUCUUAUGGACCUGGUGCCGAUGCGGCUGCGGCGACCACUCGGAUACGCCUAUGUUCUCUCAUCGCAACUCCGGGAGGCGAGAAAGUCGUACCAGCGCACGCGGAUCAUGGCGCAAUCACGUGAGGAAGGCAGCGGCUCGGUAACACCGCACGAGAGCCGUGUGGCGACAGCGGAUUGGCAGGGGGCUGCUUGUGUGUGGGGAGGGGAGGCGGGGGUCGCGUCAGCAAUGAGGACGAGGCGACUGCUCGUUCGACGACUCCAGCUUUGAAUGCGAGAGCGAGUGCCGAGUGCCGACACUGACGUACCUGCACAGGUAGAGGUGGGCCGCUGCCAUGCUAAUAAUAGGAUUGCCGCGGCACUUGGGAGGCCGCGACCCUGUUACAACCACAGUGAGAAGGCCAAAGACUCUGCUGGCGAGGCGACGCGCACGCAGACCGAGAACCUUCUUAUUCUCUUCCUCUACCCGCAUUACGACUCGGCGCCGACGGACAGCGGCUGGGCCGCGGUGAUGCAGCGGGGCUACUUGGAGCAGCAUCGCAGUAUCCGGAGCGUGCACUUGAUUCAACGCUGCAGACAAGAUGAUACGUACGGAGAGGCUUGGCCUCGGUACAUCCCUUGUUUCGUCCGUGAUCAUGGCAAGCCAGACUGGCUCUUUGUUGUGUGCUUGAAGCCGUGCCGAUCUGUUUCACGCAGUUUGGCGGCACCUGCGAGAAAAAGUACAUGCGCACGGUGGCGCGUCUUCGCGAUGUGGUAAGCGUGCCGUCCACCACGGUGGACUCGCCAGGGAGGACGGCGGCGCGAGCGAUGGCGAGAAGCAGUUCUCUGAAGCUCUAGACCCCCAGUGGCGUCGUACGUCGAUACUUUGGGCGAGUGCGGGGAGCGUUAGAGAGUGCUGUGCAUGCAUGCAGUCUUCGCGAGAAUUAUCGAAGCAGCUGUGGCAGACCGUGGCAACGAACUCGCAGCCGUCUUCGGCGACACAUCGCGGGAUCAGCAAAACUUCCCCCCUUUCUGCAAUCGACAGCUCCGGUUUCCCCUCGAGCAAGUUGCCGCGCAUCAUCUCGCCGCACUCGCUCAUUCCAGCGGCGCACGGUGUGUGCCGGUUGGUUGCCGUGGACGAUAUCAACCCCGUGUGGGCCAUCGUGCCGCACCGCUCCCCUCAGCUUAAGUGUUUGGGAUGAUACGAGGUUCGGCAAAUCCGCGCCAUGCCUGUCGCCACCGCACACGUGGGAAUACUUGCCGCGGUGGCGUCGUCGCACACGCGAUGGCGCUGCGAACUUCCUUGGUGUACCCGAUGAAUGAAGCGUUUGCGUCUUGUGAGGUAGAAACGUAGAGUGUACCGCUGCGGCGCACGCACCCGACGAUGCAGAUAGCGUAAACCUGCGCUCUGUUUUUCUGCGCAACGAAGAGACUUGUUCGGUGCUUUCUCUGUGCUUGCUCUCUUCCGGUGGCGAAGAGCCUCUCUCUCUUUUUCCGCCCCCCUCUCCCUCACGUGUUUUUCAGCUUGUUUCUCAUGCUGC